RNAcentral lists this long non-coding RNA (1491 nucleotides) under Parus major (Great Tit). RNAcentral describes it as "lncRNA (ENSPMJG00000010378.1)". The record is from RNAcentral. Lineage: Eukaryota; Metazoa; Chordata; Aves; Passeriformes; Paridae.
UUACAGGUCAUUGGAGAGCACAUACACAGAGAAAAUGGGACCAAGUUGACCUUCUCCAGCAACUUGAGCAGGUUUUAUGUUUUCUUAUUUCACUUGGAAAAAAAAGCAUGAGAAAUUAUUAAUCCAGCUCUGUGCAUGAAAAGAAAAUGAAAGUAUAUGAAGAGUUUGUACAGGUCAAAGUUUAAAUUUUUUUAAGUUUUGCAAAACCUCAGGGUAAUACUAAACGAGGAUUUGCUUCCUCUACCGGAGCAUGCUGUACAUGUCCUCAAAGCUUUUCUUGCAUUCUUCUGUUGUGGAACCCUACCAGCUUUCCUUAGCCUUCUGCUUAAGAAAGUGUCGGUUGGGUUUUGUACUCAGCUAUUUGUAAUUAUGGGUGUGACUCAUGAAAUGUAAAAGCACUUUUAAGAUUAGUGUAAGAAUAGACGCACUGUAUAUCUGAAUAGUAGAAUCAAUCCACUUCUGCAUUAGUGCUAGGAAUACCCACCACACCUAUUUAAAAGAAAAUCCUCAAAAGAUAGUUUUUAUAUGACAGCAUAAUUGAAAGAUGCAUUCUGUAAUUCUGAUUAGUGCUGUAAGUGGUGCUUCAUGAUGAGAGACUGUGAAUCCAGGCUAGGGAAAAUUGAUUGUUUAAAACCCAUUUGAGUGUAAGCUUUAAUUUAGGAUUCUGAAGGCUGUAGCCCUUUUUUGGCAUAGAACGUAAACUGGGACAAGAGGUGGUUCUGCCUGGAUGCCUUGCAUUCUGCCCUGAAAAGACAGCUUUUAUAUGUAACGCCAUAGAUGAUAAAAGGUGAAAACAGUGCUAUAUAUCAUAUUCACAAUGAAAAGUAUAAUCUUUAUUUUGCUGCAAUACUAGGAGAUAGCUGCAGCUAUCUCCUAUUCACUUCCACAGCUUCAAAAUAUGGAAGAAGAUGAAUUUGCUGUGUUGAACAUCUUUGUCUCAUGCUUUGGAGGCUGAUUUUGUACCUGAAAGCUGAUGAACAAGACACGCUCGGGUUUUUCCCUGAAGCAGGCUGUGCUCUGAGCAUAAGGCUGGGUGUGCUCUCUUCAGGGCACUGUGCACCUGCGUUUUGUUGGAGCACAGAAUUCAAGAGCUUUCCAAACCUGCCAGUCUUUGAUACAGUAAGUUGUGACUGCAAAUAAUGGAACUGCUGUAGAAAACUGUCGCCUCCCUCCUUUAUUAGACAAAACACCAAAGUAGAGUUUGUUAAAGGAAAUUAUAAAUUACAAAGGCAAGCACUUGCUAAAGGAUUCUGUCUCUGGGCACCUGUUUUGUGCAGUUUGGGUGACUGUAUUAACAGUUCAGAUGCCUUAGAUGCCUGAAAUUAGGUAGGAUGACUAGGGGUCUAAACCAGUUUCAGCCAAUUACCUGAUUUGCUAUGGCUUCUGCAGAUAAUAGACUUAAAAAUAACUGUAACAAAGAUAGAGGCUCCAACAAAUAAGCCAGCAUUUAAGGUUUAUGUCAAAUAAAGAGUCACUACCAUUUUCCCUGCA